GAUGAACGCUGGCGGCGUGCCUAAUACAUGCAAGUCGAGCGAACAGAUGAGGAGCUUGCUCCUCUGACGUUAGCGGCGGACGGGUGAGUAACACGUGGAUAACCUACCUAUAAGACUGGGAUAACUUCGGGAAACCGGAGCUAAUACCGGAUAAUAUAUUGAACCGCAUGGUUCAAUAGUGAAAGACGGUUUUGCUGUCACUUAUAGAUGGAUCCGCGCCGCAUUAGCUAGUUGGUAAGGUAACGGCUUACCAAGGCAACGAUGCGUAGCCGACCUGAGAGGGUGAUCGGCCACACUGGAACUGAGACAAGGUCCAGACUCCUACGGGAGGCAGCAGUAGGGAAUCUUCCGCAAUGGGCGAAAGCCUGACGGAGCAACGCCGCGUGAGUGAUGAAGGUCUUCGGAUCGUAAAACUCUGUUAUUAGGGAAGAACAAAUGUGUAAGUAACUAUGCACGUCUUGACGGUACCUAAUCAGAAAGCCACGGCUAACUACGUG
Molecule: ribosomal RNA, 497 nt
Filed under: uncultured bacterium
Lineage: Bacteria
Description: partial 16S ribosomal RNA
Rfam family: Bacterial small subunit ribosomal RNA
Source: RNAcentral